Molecule: ribosomal RNA, 253 nt
Filed under: uncultured bacterium
Lineage: Bacteria
Description: partial 16S ribosomal RNA
Rfam family: Bacterial small subunit ribosomal RNA
Source: RNAcentral
GACAGAGGAUGCAAGCGUUGUCCGGAAUUAUUGGGCGUAAAGAGCUCGUAGGCGGCUUGUCGCGUCGACCGUGAAAACUUGGGGCUCAACCCCAAGCCUGCGGUCGAUACGGGCAGGCUAGAGUUCGGUAGGGGAGACUGGAAUUCCUGGUGUAGCGGUGAAAUGCGCAGAUAUCAGGAGGAACACCGGUGGCGAAGGCGGGUCUCUGGGCCGUAACUGACGCUGAGGAGCGAAAGCGUGGGGAGCGAACAGG